This 73-nucleotide transfer RNA is filed under the name Ovis aries (sheep). It matches the Rfam family "tRNA". Rfam says of the family: Transfer RNA (tRNA) molecules are approximately 80 nucleotides in length. Their secondary structure includes four short double-helical elements and three loops (D, anti-codon, and T loops). Lineage: Eukaryota; Metazoa; Chordata; Mammalia; Artiodactyla; Bovidae. The record is from Rfam by way of RNAcentral.
UCCCUGGUGGUCCAGUGGCUAAGACUCCCUGCUCCCAAUGCAGGGAGCUCAGGUUCGAUUCCUGAUCAGGGGA